AUCUGACGCUCAGGCUCCGCCCCCUGCAUGUCUUUGUUGGCAAACAGUUCUGGGGGUCGUCCGAUCCUGCAGAGACCGUCCAGGCUGGACUUGAACUCCUUCCUCGGCUGAAGUGAUCCUCCUGCCUCAGCGUCCUGAAUAGGAAGUGGAGCCAGAAUCCACAGAUGUCAUUAUCCAUCUGCACACUUUGUUUACUACCCAGAAGGCAAGAAUAUUGCAUUUUAAAAGUGCCCGGACUUUUGUUCUUUCUUAUCACAAAUGACUUGGGAAGCUCCGACCACUCAUGUUUACCCCGAGUGAAAGUCCCAUUCAAAGCCUUGCUUCCUGGAGAGCUUUGAGAUUCUGGUACAAAAGGCAUUUUAUAAGCACAAAGUGGAAAAGCAUCAUUCAUAUUCAUUUGCUGCUGCGGCAUUUCUCCCUGGAAUCUUCCUCUUGUCUGUCAACAUUGGGCAAAAGGACUGGCCUCAUCUACAUUACAGAUAUCCUUGUGAUGGUCUGGAGGUAGGAAAAGGACACCCAGCACAAGAGUGAGAAGGGAAACUCAAGCUCUCCUGUUGGAGAGUCUCAGGCUUCUUUAUCCAUAAAACUGAUUGGACAUAAUUGGUGUGGGUUUAUGAUUUGUUUUGGAAAAACCUGAGUAUGAAAUCAAUACUGUGCUUUGUGCA
Molecule: long non-coding RNA, 665 nt
Filed under: Homo sapiens (human)
Lineage: Eukaryota; Metazoa; Chordata; Mammalia; Primates; Hominidae
Description: non-protein coding EDRF1-AS1:47
Source: RNAcentral